GACGAACGCUGGCGGCGUGCCUAAUACAUGCAAGUCGAACGAACCGCGACUAAGUGCUUGCACUAAGUCAAGGUGAGUGGCGAACGGGUGAGUAACACGUGGGUAACCUACCUCAUAGUGGGGGAUAACAGUCGGAAACGACUGCUAAUACCGCAUAGGACAUAGGAUCACAUGAUUCAGUGAGGAAAGGUGGCGCAAGCUAUCGCUAAGAGAUGGACCCGCGGUGCAUUAGCUAGUUGGUAGGGUAACGGCCUACCAAGGCGAUGAUGCAUAGCCGACCUGAGAGGGUGAUCGGCCACAUUGGGACUGAGACACGGCCCAAACUCCUACGGGAGGCAGCAGUAGGGAAUCUUCCGCAAUGGACGCAAGUCUGACGGAGCAACGCCGCGUGAGUGAAGAAGGUCUUCGGAU
This 411-nucleotide ribosomal RNA is filed under the name Abiotrophia defectiva. Its description in RNAcentral is "bacterial SSU rRNA". It matches the Rfam family "Bacterial small subunit ribosomal RNA", at positions 28 to 423 of the family's 1533-position model. Lineage: Bacteria; Bacillati; Bacillota; Bacilli; Lactobacillales; Aerococcaceae. The record is from RNAcentral.